UCCGGUUGAUCCUGCCGGACCCGACUGCUAUCAGAGUGGGACUAAGCCAUGCGAGUCAACAUAGCAAUAUGUGGCAUACGGCUCAGUAACACGUAGUCAACAUGCCCAGGGGACGUGGAUAACCUCGGGAAACUGAGGAUAAACCGCGAUAGGUCAUCACUUCUGGAAUGGGUAAUGACUUAAAUCUACAUGGCCCCUGGAUUGGACUGCGGCCGAUCAGGCUGUUGGUGAGGUAAUGGCCCACCAAACCUGUAACCGGUACGGGCUCUGAGAGGAGGAGCCCGGAGAUGGGCACUGAGACAAGGGCCCAGGCCCUAUGGGGCGCAGCAGGCGCGAAACCUCUGCAAUAGGCGAAAGCUUGACAGGGUUACUCUGAGUGAUUUCCCGUUAAGGAGAUCUUUUGGCACCUCUAAAAAUGGUGCAGAACAAGGGGUGGGCAAGUCUGGUGUCAGCCGCCGCGGUAAUACCAGCACCCCGAGUGGUCGGGACGUUUAUUGGGCCUAAAGCAUCCGUAGCCGGUUCUACAAGUCUUCCGUUAAAUCCACCUGCUUAACAGAUGGGCUGCGGAAGAUACUAUAGAGCUAGGAGGCGGGAGAGGCAAGCGGUACUCGAUGGGUAGGGGUAAAAUCCGUUGAUCCAUUGAAGACCACCAGUGGCGAAGGCGGCUUGCCAGAACGCGCUCGACGGUGAGGGAUGAAAGCUGGGGGAGCAAACCGGAUUAGAUACCCGGGUAGUCCCAGCUGUAAACGAUGCAGACUCGGUGAUGAGUUGGCUUAUUGCUAACUCAGUGCCGCAGGGAAGCCGUUAAGUUUGCCGCCUGGGGAGUACGGUCGCAAGACUGAAACUUAAAGGAAUUGGCGGGGGAGCACCACAAGGGGUGAAGCCUGCGGUUCAAUUGGAGUCAACGCCGGAAAUCUUACCGGGGGCGACAGCAGAGUGAAGGUCAAGCUGAAGACUUUACCAGACAAGCUGAGAGGAGGUGCAUGGCCGUCGCCAGCUCGUGCCGUGAGGUGUCCUGUUAAGUCAGGUAACGAGCGAGACCCA
This 1044-nucleotide ribosomal RNA is filed under the name unidentified archaeon. RNAcentral describes it as "bacterial SSU rRNA". It matches the Rfam family "Archaeal small subunit ribosomal RNA", at positions 1 to 1054 of the family's 1478-position model. The record is from RNAcentral.